Molecule: transfer RNA, 72 nt
Filed under: Gomphillus americanus
Lineage: Eukaryota; Fungi; Ascomycota; Lecanoromycetes; Ostropales; Graphidaceae
Rfam family: tRNA
About the family: Transfer RNA (tRNA) molecules are approximately 80 nucleotides in length. Their secondary structure includes four short double-helical elements and three loops (D, anti-codon, and T loops).
Source: Rfam by way of RNAcentral
ACACUGGUGGUCUAACGGUUAUGAUUCAUCGCUCCCAACGAUGAGACAGGGUUUCGACUCCCUUCCAGUGUA